This 465-nucleotide ribosomal RNA is filed under the name uncultured bacterium. RNAcentral's name for it is "bacterial SSU rRNA". It matches the Rfam family "Bacterial small subunit ribosomal RNA", at positions 330 to 792 of the family's 1533-position model. The record is from RNAcentral.
UCCAGACUCCUACGGGAGGCAGCAGUGAGGAAUAUUGGUCAAUGGCCGGAAGGCUGAACCAGCCAAGUCGCGUGAGGGAAUAAGGCCCUAUGGGUCGUAAACCUCUUUUGUCAGGGAGCAAAGGCGUCCACGUGUGGACGAGAGGAGAGUACCUGAAGAAAAAGCAUCGGCUAACUCCGUGCCAGCAGCCGCGGUAAUACGGAGGAUGCGAGCGUUAUCCGGAUUUAUUGGGUUUAAAGGGUGCGUAGGCGGGACCUUAAGUCAGCGGUAAAAUUGCGGUGCUCAACGCCGUAGAGCCGUUGAAACUGGGGCUCUUGAGUGAGCGAGAAGUAUGCGGAAUGCGUGGUGUAGCGGUGAAAUGCAUAGAUAUCACGCAGAACCCCGAUUGCGAAGGCAGCAUACCGGCGCUCAACUGACGCUGAGGCACGAAAGUGCGGGUAUCGAACAGGAUUAGAUACCCGAGUA